Molecule: ribosomal RNA, 177 nt
Filed under: uncultured bacterium
Lineage: Bacteria
Description: partial 16S ribosomal RNA
Rfam family: Bacterial small subunit ribosomal RNA
Source: RNAcentral
ACUCCUACGGGAGGCAGCAGUAGGGAAUAUUGGACAAUGGGCGAAAGCCUGACGCAGCGACGCCGCGUGGGGGAUGACGGCCUUCGGGUUGUAAACCUCUUUCAGCAGGGACGAAGCGAAAGUGACGGUACCUGCAGAAGAAGCACCGGCCAACUACGUGCCAGCAGCCGCGGUAAU